Molecule: unclassified non-coding RNA, 247 nt
Filed under: Hevea brasiliensis (rubber tree)
Lineage: Eukaryota; Viridiplantae; Streptophyta; Magnoliopsida; Malpighiales; Euphorbiaceae
Source: RNAcentral
CUUGUUAUCCUUAGACUUCCGUCCUCUCUUCCUCUUUUUGUCAGGUUCAUUCAUCAAAAGUAGGGUCUUUUCUUGAACCCCGGAAGUAGCCGGCUGUGUAAUAGGAGGAGGCGGUGGAGAUUGGGAAUUUGGAUUAUGUAUAAAGAACUUAAGAAAAUGAAGAAUUGCGUGAUUUUCAGGGUCGGAAGUACACGGGGGUUUGGGUUGUGAAGUUGAAGGGUGAAGACCAGGCACGCGAGAACGGUGG